UCAACUACCAUCUAGCUCCAAGGUCAAUCCCGAACCCAAAUCAAGGCAUACAAAUCUGAGGUUCCAUUCCCCUAACCAUUCUAUCUAGAUCUAUGCAACAUUGCUAGAUCAUACCUUUGCCACACCCACAGAGCUUGUUAGCUCAUCGGCCCAGCUACUCUAGCUGAAUGAACUCAUAAACCAGCUGAUCGAGCUGUCACACUCGAACUGAGCUAGGACCGAGCUAUGGCCAGCUGCCAUAUACUGCGUCCAGCUCCCUUAGGUACUUAGUCAUUCAGCCAAC
RNAcentral lists this long non-coding RNA (283 nucleotides) under Brassica napus (rape). Its description in RNAcentral is "long non-coding RNA (BNAP_LNC002524)". Lineage: Eukaryota; Viridiplantae; Streptophyta; Magnoliopsida; Brassicales; Brassicaceae. The record is from RNAcentral.